This 492-nucleotide ribosomal RNA is filed under the name uncultured bacterium. Its description in RNAcentral is "partial 16S ribosomal RNA". It matches the Rfam family "Bacterial small subunit ribosomal RNA", at positions 29 to 507 of the family's 1533-position model. The record is from RNAcentral.
AGUGAACGCUGGCGGUAGGCCUAACACAUGCAAGUCGAACGGCAGCACAGUAAGGGCUUGUCUUUACGGGUGGCGGGUGGCGGAGGGUUGAGGAAUAAAUCGGAAUUUACUUUUUCUUGGGGGAUAACGUAGGGAAAUUUCCGCUAAUCCCGCAUAGGACCUACGGGUGAAAGCAGGGGUUCUUCGGACUUUGGCCGAUGAAUUGGGCCGAUGUCGGAUUAGCUAGUUGGCGGGGUAAAGGCCCACCAAGGCGACGAUCCGUAGCUGGUCUGAGAGGAUGAUCAGCCACACUGGAACUGAGACACGGUCCAGACUCCUACGGGAGGCAGCAGUGGGGAAUAUUGGACAAUGGGCGCAAGCCUGAUCCAGCCAUACCGCGUGGGUGAAGAAGGCCUUCGGGUUGUAAAGCCCUUUUGUUGGGAAAGAAAAGCAGCAGGUUAAUACCCCGCUGUUCUGACGGUACCCAAAGAAUAAGCACCGGCUAACUUCGUG